UUCUUUUUUGUGCCGUUUUAGACAGAAUCCCCGGGAAGGUAAUAAAUUAUAUCAUGUUUUAAAACGUUCAUAUUUAAAAAUCAAAAAGAAAGUUGUUUUUUUUCAAAAUGUAAUGUUAGAUUAUUUUAAACCCGGCAAUACAUGAGGCAAUAUUAAAACUGCGAUUGGAAAACACUUGCUCUAUGUAAUCCGUUUCAUGACUAAUUAUUAUGCUUUGGGCAAAUCUGCUUAGAAGCUCUAUAUCAUUUUUUUCUUCAAUUUAUUAUCAGAUGGCGUUUUCAAGUUGUUUGUCGCACAUUGUCUCAGGAUGAGAAUACUCUGUACGAAAAGAUAUGAAAUGCAGGACUUGAAGCGCUUAAACUGAUGAGGUGAGGUGAAAAAAAGUAAGGAAGACUAGAAGAAGUCUACCAUCAUUACUGCAGGAAGUGUAUUCAAUAAGAUACACGUGGUUGUACAUGUAUAUAUUCAAAUGUACAUGUUGAGUGUGGGUAUCCCAUGCAACCCCGAUUUUCGUCACUGGGUGAAAUGUUAAUAAAUGGUGGUAAAUUCAUUUUAAACUUAUCUAACUAACUCUCAACUUGUCUUUAUUAUUUGAAUACUUCAAGAUUAAAUUGGAAUAAGCUCAACCAAUUAAAAUCCAUGCCUCGAUCAUGCACUUGUCUUUAUUGCAUUGUUUUCUUUGUUUAUUGAGCUAUGAUUUAGUUUGUCUAAAAAAAUUGUUGUCUAGCACGAAUGACAUUAAUAAUUUGUAAUACCUAAUUAUUAAAAGAGUCAAUUUCUGAUUUGAAAAGACCCCCAAUGUUAUACUCAGGUUAUAACUCGUCAUUCUCAUACAAGAAACAGAACUCAAGUAAUUAAACGAAUCAAUUGAUAUAUUAAAAAGAAUCCCGUCAAUGUAGCUAUGGUUUUUGAUAUGUCUGUUUAAUCAAUCGUUUUUCUAACAAAUACACAAUUCAUAAAAGAAAAAUAACAAAACUAUAAUUAUAACCCUACAUUAAAAGUAAUUGUAAAAGUAAAAGUAGGUGAACGACUUUUGUAGAUGACCAUCUUCCACGGUGUGACGUAAAUCCAUUGUCCAGAUCACGACCAGCCAAACUAUUUACGUAAUACAGUAUUAAGAAAAAACAUUAAUACAUAUAUAAACCAUAUCGUCCUUAACUAUUUAAGUAAUAUUGUAAAAAAUAAAAAAAUAUACCAAUAGAUAUAUCAAAUAUUUCAUUGAUGUGCAAAUAUAAACACCAGUUAUGAAUCAUAAAAAUCAAGAAUGUUUUCAAAUAUUUGCCAUUUGCAUUUACUCUGUUCGAAUUUUCCCGCGUUU
This is a long non-coding RNA of Magallana angulata, 1318 nucleotides long. RefSeq lists it as uncharacterized. The transcript has 3 exons. The record is from RefSeq and is a predicted model, not a curated record. NCBI's taxonomy places the organism in Eukaryota, Metazoa, Mollusca, Bivalvia, Ostreida, Ostreidae.